RNAcentral lists this long non-coding RNA (2760 nucleotides) under Marmota monax (woodchuck). The record is from RNAcentral. Lineage: Eukaryota; Metazoa; Chordata; Mammalia; Rodentia; Sciuridae.
GGGAGAUGCUAAGAGUCCAAAUAAGGAUUCAGCCUCCAUUUGCAUUUGUUUUGAUUCUUUAGCCUUAAAAUAUUCUGUAUUCUUAUUCAUAGUUAAACUCGAUUUUUAAAAAAAGUUCUGGACCCGCCCGAGACUGUUUUACAACAUCACAUUGCCAGAUUUACACCAAAGCUCUAGAAAGAGUUGAUCCAAAGUGUCUUUCAGGAUAAGAAGGAGUUACUGUGAGUCUUGGAAUACAGUGAAUCACCACAAUUACUUGCUUCCAGAAUUAUUGUAUUGUAUUUAUAAGAAAAAUGUGCAACAUGGAGCUUGGAUUAGAAUUUGAACUCACCUUCUAGAAAUCAUAAAUAAAGUUUACAUCAACUUACUCUUACACUUCUAUUUAAAAAUAAAAACUUCAUUAGGUCUUUGGAUAAAAUUAAACAAGUGAAAAACCUUCUUUCCCCUCUUUCCCUGAAGUACACUUGCCAGGCUCUUUCUGUACAGCUGCAGCUUAGCUUCAACAACAGUAGGAGAUGUGAAGGUUGAUACCUUGUGUGCAAGUUCUAGAACUCACAGGGCUUUCAGAGAGCUUAUCCUUUUCCCUUAGCAGUCCAAAUGACUUUCCCCCAAGAAGUUUUAAAUGACCCAACAUUUUGUAUAGUUUGUCAGCAUAUUGAUGUUUUCUCUUUAUGAGAAAUGCCUUCCAUUUUAUGCUUCUGUGGCAUAGACCCCUAGUUUUGUGGUCAACUCUCUUUGUCUUUUUUUUACUUUUUAAGGCUUCUCUGCCUUUCUCUUAGACAUAAAUGUUCUUCAAAUUUCUAUCAUAAGAUCCUUUCUCUACUCACAACCAUUUCCCUGAAAAACAUCACUUAUUGCUUUGGCUUCCUUUACCAUCUGCAUUAAUUGUUCUCAUCUUAGAGAUUGAAGGCAAAUCGUGUAUUGGUUGAUCAAAUAGAAGUGGAUUUUUUUAAAAAAAUAAGAAAACAUUAAACUGUAUGUUUAUCAUUAAAUAUAUAUCUUGCCCUAAGCCUAACUCCUAGCUCUAAAAUGUUGCUUAUUGAAAGCAUCCAUUGGGAUAUCUUGUAGACAUCCAAAAUUCAGUACACCCAGAAUUAAUGUCAUUCGACACCUUCGUGCAUCUUCAUCCAUUCUGCUGUCCAGACAUAGUAAGUUCUCCUGGGUCCUGGAUUUCCUUUCUCAUUGAAUAGUCCUACUAUCAGGUGUCAAGCUGCAAGCCUCUGAAUCAUCCUUGAAACAUUUCUGAAUUACCAAAUCCUAUUGGUACAACCCCUGAUUUUCUCUCAUCUUUCUACCUCUCUUUCUCUCCUGCCAUUAACCCAGCAGUUUUCCUUAAUUAUUGCAGCAGACCUCCUGGUCUCUCUGGUGUUGGUCCUACAUCCCUACAAUGCACUCUAUACAUACUGCCCCAGAAUAAUUUGUAAAGUAUAAAUCCUAUCAUAUUAUUCCUUAAAGCCUUUUAGGAGAAUCUAAAAAGUAUAGUGUCUUAGUCCAUUUUCUGUUUUAACAAAGUACCUGAAACCAAGUAAUUUAUAAGGAAAGGAUAUAUAUAUAUCCGUGUGUGUGUGUGUGUAUAUAUAUAAUUUUUUUUUAAUAGUUCCAAAGGUAAGGAAUUUCAAGAACAUGGUACAAGCAUCUGCUCAAGGGCCUUCUUCCUCUAUUAUAACAGCUGACUUUAUCACAUGGUAAGACAGAGCAAGUAUGCUAGUUCUAGUCUUUCUCUGAAUAAAACCACUAAUGCCAUCGAGGGGGACCAGCCCUAAUGACCUCAUCUAAUCAUAAGUCCUUCUCAAAGGCCCUCCCUCCAAAUAACAUUAACUAUGAAUUUGGGGGUGGUUUCAAACACGUGAAAUUUUAAACCAUAGUGUGUAGCUUACAUCUCCCCAUCUGCCAGAACUUGUGUAAAUUUGUGGAAAACAUCAUACUUGGGCUGGGGAUGUGGCUUAAGCGCUCGCCUGGCAUGCGCGGAGUGCUGGGUUCAAUCCUCAGCACCACAUAAAAAUAAAGAUGUUGUGUCCACUGAAAACUGAAAAAUAAAUUUUAAAAAAUCAUACAAAUGCUUUGUUCAUCUGAACAGUAUUUCCCUAACUCAACCAGUUAAUCACUUUCUUAGUCUUCAGGUCUCAGUUUCCCUGGAAAGUCUGUAGCCUCUCUGUUACAGUGCUCUGCUACACACUCAUCAGCCUUCUUUUAUUACUAGUACUUGCCAGCAUUGUGUAAUUGCCUAUUUGUCUUCAUGGACUGAUAACCAUGUUCUGUUUCACUUCCCCAGUGCCUAGCACAAAGCCUGGCAAAUAGUUAGCAUUUAUUCUUUUUGAGUAAAGCAAGGGUGUGGAAUGUUUGGACAUAAAUUGUAUAAAAAAGAAAUUUAGUUGGGCUGGGGAUGUGGCUCAAGUGGUAGCGCGCUCGCCUGGCAUGCGUGCGGCCCGGGUUCGAUCCUCAGCACCACAUACAAACAAAGAUGUUGUGUCCGCCGAAAACUAAAAAAUAAAUAUUAAAAUUUUCUCUCUCUCUCUUAAAAAAGAAAGAAAAAGAAAUUUAGUAAUUCAGAGGUGUUUGUGAUAGCAGGGCAGCUAGAAAUGAGUAGUUCUAGAAUACAGAUCCCCAGUUUUCUUUUCACUUUGUUCAUGAUGCCAUAAAAUAAAACCUUAGCUAAAGUGUCCUUGAUCCCUAAUGGUUGUUGUAUUUGUUUUUUUGUCAUAUGAUUUAUUUGUUUCUUUUGGUUGCUGUGCUGGUAUCACAUGGUAAGACAGAGCUGGG